GACAAACGCUGGCGGCGUGCAUAAAACAUGCAAGUCGCACGGCCUCUUCGGAGGCAGUGGCAGACGGCUGAGUAACGCGUAGGGAUCUACCCAGCAGUGGGGAAUAACGGCCCGAAAGGGUCGCUAAUACCGCAUACGACCACCUUUCGGGGUGAGGAAAGCCGCAAGGCGCUGGUGGAGGAACCUGCGUCCGAUUAGCUAGUUGGUGGGGUAACGGCCUACCAAGGCGACGAUCGGUAGCUGGCUGAGAGGAUGACCAGCCAGACUGGGACUGGGACACGGCCCAGACUCCUACGGGAGGCAGCAGUUAGGAAUUUUGGGCAAUGGCCGCAAGGCUGACCCAGCAACGCCGCGUGGGGGACGAAGGCCUUCGGUCGUAACCC
This 383-nucleotide ribosomal RNA is filed under the name uncultured bacterium. RNAcentral's name for it is "bacterial SSU rRNA". It matches the Rfam family "Bacterial small subunit ribosomal RNA", at positions 28 to 431 of the family's 1533-position model. The record is from RNAcentral.